UAAUACGUAGGUGGCAAGCGUUAUCCGGAAUUAUUGGGCGUAAAGCGCGCGCAGGCGGUUUCUUAAGUCUGAUGUGAAAGCCCACGGCUCAACCGUGGAGGGUCAUUGGAAACUGGGGAACUUGAGUGCAGAAGAGAAAAGCGGAAUUCCACGUGUAGCGGUGAAAUGCGUAGAGAUGUGGAGGAACACCAGUGGCGAAGGCGGCUUUUUGGUCUGUAACUGACGCUGAGGCGCGAAAGCGUGGGGAGCAAACAGGAUUAGAUACCCUGGUAGUCCACGCCGUAAACGAUGAGUGCUAAGUGUUAGAGGGUUUCCGCCCUUUAGUGCUGCAGCUAACGCAUUAAGCACUCCGCCUGGGGAGUACGGUCGCAAGACUG
This 377-nucleotide ribosomal RNA is filed under the name uncultured bacterium. RNAcentral's name for it is "bacterial SSU rRNA". It matches the Rfam family "Bacterial small subunit ribosomal RNA", at positions 521 to 896 of the family's 1533-position model. The record is from RNAcentral.